CACGUAGGCACCAAGCGUUGUCCGGAUUUAUUGGGCGUAAAGAGCUCGUAGGCGGUUCGGUAAGUCGGGUGUGAAAACUCUGGGCUCAACCCAGAGCCGCCACCCGAUACUGCUGUGACUUGAGUGCGGUAGAGGAUCGCGGAAUUCCCGGUGUAGAGGUGAAAUUCGUAGAUAUCGGGAGGAACACCAGUGGCGAAGGCGGCGAUCUGGGAAGAUACUGACGCUGAGGUGCGAAAGCGUGGGGAGCAAACAGG
This 254-nucleotide ribosomal RNA is filed under the name uncultured bacterium. Its description in RNAcentral is "partial 16S ribosomal RNA". It matches the Rfam family "Bacterial small subunit ribosomal RNA", at positions 524 to 776 of the family's 1533-position model. The record is from RNAcentral.